CCCAUGGCUCAGAUUGAACGCUGGCGGCAGGCCUAACACAUGCAAGUCGAACGGUAGCACAGAGAGCUUGCUCUUGGGUGACGAGUGGCGGACGGGUGAGUAAUGUCUGGGAAACUGCCCGAUGGAGGGGGAUAACUACUGGAAACGGUAGCUAAUACCGCAUAACGUCUUCGGACCAAAGUGGGGGACCUUCGGGCCUCACACCAUCGGAUGUGCCCAGAUGGGAUUAGCUAGUAGGUGGGGUAACGGCUCACCUAGGCGACGAUCCCUAGCUGGUCUGAGAGGAUGACCAGCCACACUGGAACUGAGACACGGUCCAGACUCCUACGGGAGGCAGCAGUGGGGAAUAUUGCACAAUGGGCGCAAGCCUGAUGCAGCCAUGCCGCGUGUAUGAAGAAGGCCUUCGGGUUGUAAAGUACUUUCAGUGGGGAGGAAGGCGAAGAGGUUAAUAACCUUUUCGAUUGACGUUACCCGCAGAAGAAGCACCGGCUAA
RNAcentral lists this ribosomal RNA (493 nucleotides) under Erwinia sp. CL1.74. RNAcentral describes it as "bacterial SSU rRNA". It matches the Rfam family "Bacterial small subunit ribosomal RNA", at positions 16 to 500 of the family's 1533-position model. Lineage: Bacteria; Pseudomonadati; Pseudomonadota; Gammaproteobacteria; Enterobacterales; Erwiniaceae. The record is from RNAcentral.